UAGCGUUGCUCGGAAGCACUGGGCGUAAAGGGUGCGUAGGCGGGUCUUUAAGUGAGGGGUGAAAUCCUGGAGCUCAACUCCAGAACUGCCUUUGAUACUGAAGAUCUUGAGUUCGGGAGAGGUGAGUGGAACUGCGAGUGUAGAGGUGAAAUUCGUAGAUAUUCGCAAGAACACCAGUGGCGAAGGCGGCUCACUGGCCCGAUACUGACGCUGAUGCACGAAAGCGUGGGGAGCAAACAGG
RNAcentral lists this ribosomal RNA (241 nucleotides) under uncultured bacterium. RNAcentral's name for it is "partial 16S ribosomal RNA". It matches the Rfam family "Bacterial small subunit ribosomal RNA", at positions 536 to 776 of the family's 1533-position model. The record is from RNAcentral.